UAGGGAAUCUUCCGCAAUGGGCGAAAGCUUGACGGAGCAACGCCGCGUGAGUGAUGAAGGUCUUCGGAUCGUAAAACUCUGUUAUUAGGGAAGAACAAAUGUGUAAGUAACUAUGCACGUCUUGACGGUACCUAAUCAGAAAGCCACGGCUAACUACGUGCCAGCAGCCGCGGUAAUACGUAGGUGGCAAGCGUUAUCCGGAAUUAUUGGGCGUAAAGCGCGCGUAGGCGGUUUUUUAAGUCUGAUGUGAAAGCCCACGGCUCAACCGUGGAGGGUCAUUGGAAACUGGAAAACUUGAGUGCAGAAGAAGAAAGUGGAAUUCCAUGUGUAGCGGUGAAAUGCGCAGAGAUAUGGAGGAACACCAGUGGCGAAGGCGACUUUCUGGUCUGUAACUGACGCUGAUGUGCGAAAGCGUGGGGAUCAAACAGG
Molecule: ribosomal RNA, 429 nt
Filed under: Actinomycetes bacterium
Lineage: Bacteria; Bacillati; Actinomycetota; Actinomycetes
Description: Actinobacteria bacterium partial 16S ribosomal RNA
Rfam family: Bacterial small subunit ribosomal RNA
Source: RNAcentral